GCUGGUUUUCAGCUUAUUUUAAUGUUCAAUUAAUUAAUUCUAGAGCUGAUAAAUUUACAAAAUAAAUUCAAAAUCAACUUACUAAGAUGGAUAAAGUUCCCACAAAACCAAAUUUAUUAGAUACAAGGCAAGAACUUGCAGAUUUGGUGAAACGUCGUUGUGAAUUAACGGACACAUUAGCGAUCCUAGAACGGCAAAUUUAUGCAUUCGAAGGUUCUUAUCUCGAAGAUACACAGCUAUAUGGAAACAUUAUUCGAGGAUGGGAUCGCUACACCGCUCCAGGAUCCAAACCCAGUGUCAGUGCCAAUACCAAGGCGGAUAAGAGGAAUAGAAAAUUUAAAGAAGCCGAACGACUCUUUUCAAAGUCUUCCAUUACGUCAAUGGCGGCCGUGAAUGGAUAUGUACAAGAGACGGAUAGGAAUAGCGAAUCUGAAUCCCAUGCCGCGGAAAGCGGUGGUGAAGAUAGUGCUAGCGGAUCUAUAAAAUCAUCAUCUCAUCAUCAUCACCACCAUCAUUCGCAUCAUCAUUCCAAAGCCUAUGAUUUAGGCAAAGUUUCAAAGUCGUCUCAUAAAGUUAAGAAGGGGAACAAGAAGAAACAUAAAUAGUCAAUAAAAAUUUAUAAACUUCCAUUUCCCUUCGGAUUAAUUCAAUUUGUGAUUCUCCAAACUGAACUAACUCUGCGACAAGAUUCUGUAACUUUGUAAUUAAUUUGUCCUUUAUAAUUAGUUGUGUAAGACUACAUACGGAUCAAACUUACUACAGAUAGUUUUACACAACUAAAUAUAAUACACCCCACCAAAACACAAAAUCUUGACUGCGAGUUGAAACACUGGAAUGUUGACUGUUUACGAUCUAAUUGUGACCACAGGAAAUUGAUAUAUUUAAUCAUUAUUAAUAUUGUUAUUUUCAAAAAUCAUUAUCGAUAGUUAUAGUUAAGAUUUCUGUCCAAAAAAUAUUUAUAUCUUAAUCUUGAUGUUGUAAAUAUUUGAAGCAAUGUAUGACGAAAGUAUAAUUCUGUUAAACGUAA
RNA transcript from Folsomia candida, 1027 nucleotides. It is a transcript of the gene named chromatin modification-related protein MEAF6, with no coding region annotated. The transcript has 5 exons. The record is from RefSeq and is a predicted model, not a curated record. NCBI's taxonomy places the organism in Eukaryota, Metazoa, Arthropoda, Collembola, Entomobryomorpha, Isotomidae.